CCCUUCCAAAUUCCUUACCCCUCAGAUCUAAAUAUUCGUCUGAGUGGCUAAAAGAGGAGGAACAGUAAACUGAAGUGGACUUGCAGUCUUCAGUGAUUUACAGGUUCAUUUCAAACAGCA
RNAcentral lists this small nucleolar RNA (120 nucleotides) under Echinops telfairi (small Madagascar hedgehog). RNAcentral's name for it is "Small nucleolar RNA SNORA61 (ENSETEG00000026881.1)". Lineage: Eukaryota; Metazoa; Chordata; Mammalia; Afrosoricida; Tenrecidae. The record is from RNAcentral.